GAAGCUGUCCAUACUCGAAACACCGCGCUGAUUUCCGGAAGCGCUGCUCCAACUGGAUGUCACGCUGUAGCUGGUCGAGAAAGAACUAUGAUUGUGGUGUGAUGAUUCCGUCUGACUUGAAUAGUCGGCUACGGUGCGCGCCCAGCCAGUGUGCAUAUCCGUUGAGUCCGAACGAUCGAAAUCAAAGUUCGUUGGAGCAGGCAUCUGAGCCGAUCCAUGCGCGCCGG
RNAcentral lists this unclassified non-coding RNA (227 nucleotides) under Hevea brasiliensis (rubber tree). The record is from RNAcentral. Lineage: Eukaryota; Viridiplantae; Streptophyta; Magnoliopsida; Malpighiales; Euphorbiaceae.